UGGUAAGUAAGACCUGCCCGAAAGAAUGAGGCCUACGGAAGUAGGAUGGGAGCGAGUAGGGCAGGGUUUACCA
This 73-nucleotide non-coding RNA is filed under the name unclassified sequences. The record is from Rfam.